Molecule: ribosomal RNA, 446 nt
Filed under: uncultured bacterium
Lineage: Bacteria
Description: SSU rRNA
Rfam family: Bacterial small subunit ribosomal RNA
Source: RNAcentral
AGAGCGAACGCUGGCGGCAGGCCUAAAACAUGCAAGUCGAACGAGCCCUUCGGGGUUAGUGGCGGGCGGGUGAGUAACACGUGGGAACGUGCCUUUUGGUUCGGAACAACUCAGGGAAACUUGAGCUAAUACCGAAUGUGCCCUUCGGGGGAAAGAUUUAUCGCCAUUAGAGCGGCCCGCGUCUGAUUAGCUAGUUGGUGAGGUAAAGGCUCACCAAGGCUUCGAUCAGUAGCUGGUCUGAGAGGAUGAUCAGCCACACUGGGACUGAGACACGGCCCAGACUCCUACGGGAGGCAGCAGUUAGGAAUCUUGCGCAAUGGGCGAAAGCCUGACGCAGCCAUGCCGCGUGAAUGAUGAAGGUCUUAGGAUUGUAAAAUUCUUUCAGCGGGGACGAUAAUGACGGUACCCGCAGAAGAAGCUCCGGCUAACUUCGUGCCAGCAGCCGC